AGGUGUGAUCAUACCAGCACUAAUGCACUGGAUCCUAUUAGAACUCCAUAGUUAAGCGUGCCUAGACGAAAGCAGUACUAGGAUGAGUGACCUCCUGGGAAGUCCUCGUGUUGCACCUC
RNAcentral lists this ribosomal RNA (119 nucleotides) under Vigna radiata var. radiata (mung bean). Lineage: Eukaryota; Viridiplantae; Streptophyta; Magnoliopsida; Fabales; Fabaceae. The record is from RNAcentral.